Molecule: ribosomal RNA, 468 nt
Filed under: uncultured bacterium
Lineage: Bacteria
Description: partial 16S ribosomal RNA
Rfam family: Bacterial small subunit ribosomal RNA
Source: RNAcentral
GACGAACGCUGGCGGCGUGCCUAACACAUGCAAGUCGAGCGGAAAGGCCCUGCUUUUGUGGGGUGCUCGAGUGGCGAACGGGUGAGUAACACGUGAGUAACCUGCCCUUGACUUUGGGAUAACUUCAGGAAACUGGGGCUAAUACCGGAUAUGAGCUCCUGCUGCAUGGUGGGGGUUGGAAAGAUUCGGCGGUUGGGGAUGGACUCGCGGCUUAUCAGCUUGUUGGUGGGGUAGUGGCUUACCAAGGCUUUGACGGGUAGCCGGCCUGAGGGGGUGACCGGCCACAUUGGGACUGAGAUACGGCCCAGACUCCUACGGGAGGCAGCAGUGGGGAAUAUUGCACAAUGGGCGGAAGCCUGAUGCAGCAACGCCGCGUGCGGGAUGACGGCCUUCGGGUUGUAAACCGCUUUCGCCUGUGACGAAGCGUGAGUGACGGUAAUGGGUAAAGAAGCACCGGCUAACUACGUG